RNAcentral lists this long non-coding RNA (342 nucleotides) under Homo sapiens (human). RNAcentral describes it as "non-protein coding lnc-OR7D4-1:2". The record is from RNAcentral. Lineage: Eukaryota; Metazoa; Chordata; Mammalia; Primates; Hominidae.
GGAAAGUGCUUUUUGUUUUCCCCCAGAUGAGGACAUCUUCCUUAUGGAUGAAGCAAUUCGUGAAUAAGAGAAAAUGAUCCCAAGGAGGGGAAAAACGCCCAGCACACCCGUCAUAAAGUAUAUCAACGUGCUGUUCAGGAAGGUAUCAGAGCAGGCCAGCUGGAGGAUGUACGUCAGUUCGCAGAAAAAAUGUGGAAUUUCAAAAUCUUUACAGAAGAUUAGAUGCAUCAUCAGAGAAAUAUGGAGGAGGGAUGUCAUGACACCAAUGAGCCAGGUGACAAAAACCAGGAGGCCACAGAGGUGGGGGUUCAUGAUGAUCAUAUAGUGCAGAGGGUGGCAGAC